Ribosomal RNA from Crocodylus porosus (Australian saltwater crocodile), 122 nucleotides. The record is from Ensembl. Lineage: Eukaryota; Metazoa; Chordata; Crocodylia; Crocodylidae.
GCUUACAGUCAUUCUGGACUGAAUGUAUCCUUUCUUAUCUGAUCUUGGAAGCUAAGCAGUCAUCUCAGUCCUGGCUUGUCCUUGGAUGGGAGACAAGAUGGGGAUCCUGGGUGCAAUAGGAA